GUCCCAAGGGUAUGGCUGUUCGCCAUUUAAAGUGGUACGCGAGCUGGGUUUAGAACGUCGUGAGACAGUUCGGUCCCUAUCUGCCGUGGGCGCUGGAGAACUGAGGGGGGCUGCUCCUAGUACGAGAGGACCGGAGUGGACGCAUCACUGGUGUUCGGGUUGUCAUGCCAAUGGCACUGCCCGGUAGCUAAAUGCGGAAGAGAUAAGUGCUGAAAGCAUCUAAGCACGAAACUUGCCCCGAGAUGAGUUCUCCCUGAGACUUAGAGUCUCCUGAAGGAACGUUGAAGACGACGACGUUGAUAGGCCGGGUGUGUAAGCGCAGCGAUGCGUUGAGCUAACCGGUACUAAUGAACCGUGAGGCUUAACCUU
This 369-nucleotide ribosomal RNA is filed under the name Escherichia coli. RNAcentral's name for it is "partial 23S ribosomal RNA". It matches the Rfam family "Bacterial large subunit ribosomal RNA", at positions 2562 to 2925 of the family's 2925-position model. The record is from RNAcentral. RNAcentral also lists the same sequence under 3 other names. Lineage: Bacteria; Pseudomonadati; Pseudomonadota; Gammaproteobacteria; Enterobacterales; Enterobacteriaceae.